RNAcentral lists this long non-coding RNA (226 nucleotides) under Carica papaya (papaya). Its description in RNAcentral is "long non-coding RNA (CPAP_LNC015876)". Lineage: Eukaryota; Viridiplantae; Streptophyta; Magnoliopsida; Brassicales; Caricaceae. The record is from RNAcentral.
UGAAUAGACAGCUUGGAUGCACGGGCUACCGUCAGAACAUCUGUCUUGACCGCUGCAAGAACCCUAACACCAUCAUAGAAUUGGCACAGACCAUCGUCAGUGAUCAUAAAAUCAGGAACUUCGUUAGAUGUAAACUUAUCAAGGUUCUUUAUAAUCUCAAAAUCAAUUGACUGAGCUUCCCAAAUCUACAUGAGAAGGUCAGGCUGGGCUCGAGUUUGGGCGAGAU